UGGUGCUUGUCCCAGUGGUCCG
This 22-nucleotide microRNA is filed under the name Eisenia fetida (common brandling worm). RNAcentral describes it as "Efe-Mir-2689-P2_5p* (star (passenger))". Lineage: Eukaryota; Metazoa; Annelida; Clitellata; Crassiclitellata; Lumbricidae. The record is from RNAcentral.